This is a long non-coding RNA of Cyprinus carpio carpio, 1925 nucleotides long. Lineage: Eukaryota; Metazoa; Chordata; Actinopteri; Cypriniformes; Cyprinidae. The record is from Ensembl.
ACUACUUCUGUAGAAACAACUACCCUUGGCACAACUCCUGCAGAAACUACUACCCUUGGCAUAACUCCUGCAGAAACUACUACUCCAGGCACAAUGACUCAAACUGCUACUUGGCACCACCACUGCAGAAACCACUAUCAUUGGCACCACUUGUGUGAAAAAAACUAUGAUAGAUACAGAUUCCUUAGAAUGUACCACCACUUGUACACACACUACCCUGUAGAAACUACUUCUGUAGAAACUACUACCCUUGGCGCAACUCCUGCAGAAACUACUACUCCGGGCGCAAUGUCUCAAACUGCUACUUGGCACCACUAUUGCAGAAACCACUAUCAUUGGCACCACUUGUGUGAUAAAAACAACUAUGACAGAUACAGAUUCCUUAGAAUGUACCACCACUUGUACACAAACUACUCUACAGAAACUGCUUCUGUAGAAACUACUACCCUUGGCACAACUCCUGAAGAAACUACUACUCCGGGCACAAUGUCUCAAACUGCCACUUGGCAACACUAUUGCAGAAACCACCAUCAUUGGCACCACUUGUGUGAUAAAAACAACUAUGACAGAUACAGAUUCCUUAGAAUGUACCACCACUUGUACACAAACUACUCUACAGAAACUACUUCAGUAGAAACUACUACCCUUGGCACAACUCCUGCAGAAACUUCUACCCUUGGCACAACUCCUGCAGAAACUACUACUCCGGGCACAAUGUCUCAAACUGCCACUUGGCAACACUAUUGCAGAAACCACCAUCAUUGGCACCACUUGUGUGAUAAAAACAACUAUGACCGAUACAGAUUCCUUAGAAUGUACCACCACUUGAAUACACACUACCCUGUAGAAACAACUUCCAUAGAAACUACUACCUUUGGCACAACUCCUGCAAAAACUACUACUCCAGGCACAAUGACUCAAACUGCUACUUGGCACCACCACUGCAGAAACCGCUAUCAUUGGCACCACUUGUGUGAUAAAAACAACUAUGACAGAUACCGAUUCCUUAGAAUGUACCACCACUUAUACACACACUACUCUGUAGAAACUACUACCUUGGGAACCACUUCAAUAGAAACAACUACUCUGGGCACCACUUCUAUGUAAACUACUUGCCCUACUACCCGAUUCUUUAGAAUGUACUACCACUUGUACAUACACUAGUACUCUUGCAACCCCGUAGCAGAUAGUCCUACAGUUUCAUCACUGUAGAAAUAUCAGCAUUGGUUAAUUCAACAGUAAUAGUAUUGUAAACAUCCACACAUGUAAUGACAACUGCUGGAACAACAAUCUUUGCUAUAUCUAUGUCUGGCAUAUUGUCUGCCUUUGAAUCCUUAGUUGCUGAAAUAUAACACUUCUACAGAAAAUAUUACCCUUGGCGCACUUUUUGUGGAAAGUACUAUUCUGGCCACCACUUCUGGAGAAAGUACCAUCUUUGACUCCACUUCUCCAGAAACAACUACCCUUGGCGCCACCUUGACUGAAACACUGUUCUGAAACUCUGCAAAAUUCUGCAGUGAAUAAUCUUUGCUGCUGUUUACCUUGUGGCAACAGUGGAGGUUGCAGAUUUAAAGAUGUAUGGUGUAUGAAUGACCUGUAUGACUCUUUUAGUUGUAUCUGUGGAACAAGCAUACCAUUGAUCAUGCCACUUCUAACAAGAUAUACAAGAUGAGCAGAUUGUGGGCAAUGAGAUGAGGACAAGGUCUUGUGGUAUUCCCUAAAGACUGCUACUCUACUACAGAUACUGAUCUCUGCGCUCCUGCUUAGUAAAAUAGGAAUAUAAAUUAAUCAAUUUAAAGAUUUUCUUUUGACAAAUUGUAUAUUAAAAAUUAAUAUUUGCUGCAAUUGAUUUUUGAAAAUAUUUUAUGGUUUGUGUAAUGUAAAUGUCACUGUUAAAUGAAUAAAAGAAUUUCACUGAGGUGAUC